GGAUGAAGAACGUAGCGAAAUGCGAUAAGUAGUGUGAAUUGCAGAAUUCAGUGAAUCAUCGAAUCUUUGAACGCACAUUGCGCCCCUUGGUAUUCCAUGGGGCAUGCCUGUUCGAGCGUCAUUUGUACCUUCAAGCUCUGCUUGGUGUUGGGUGUUUGUCUCGCCUCUGCGUGUAGACUCGCCUCAAAAUAAUUGGCAGCCGGCGUAUUGAUUUCGGAGCGCAGUACAUCUCGCGCUUUGCACUCAUAACGACGACGUCCAAAAGUACAUUUUUACACUCUUGACCUCGGAUCAGGUAGGGAUACCCGCUGAACUUAAGCAUAUCAAUAAGCGGAGGA
This 338-nucleotide unclassified non-coding RNA is filed under the name soil metagenome. Its description in RNAcentral is "partial contains 5.8S ribosomal RNA, internal transcribed spacer 2, and large subunit ribosomal RNA". The stretch from base 2 to 121 matches the Rfam family "5.8S ribosomal RNA", at positions 35 to 154 of the family's 154-position model. The record is from RNAcentral.